GUCUGCAUCUUCAGUUAUACGCGCUUCUGAUUUCUCGUUAGAAUAACUUCAAGAAAAAAAAAGCAUUCAGCCUGUAUUGGAACGAAAUUCC
Hibiscus syriacus is the source of this 91-nucleotide long non-coding RNA. RefSeq lists it as uncharacterized. The record is from RefSeq and is a predicted model, not a curated record. The transcript has 3 exons. Lineage: Eukaryota; Viridiplantae; Streptophyta; Magnoliopsida; Malvales; Malvaceae.